This 87-nucleotide transfer RNA is filed under the name Jatropha curcas. It matches the Rfam family "tRNA". From Rfam's summary of the family: Transfer RNA (tRNA) molecules are approximately 80 nucleotides in length. Their secondary structure includes four short double-helical elements and three loops (D, anti-codon, and T loops). Lineage: Eukaryota; Viridiplantae; Streptophyta; Magnoliopsida; Malpighiales; Euphorbiaceae. The record is from Rfam by way of RNAcentral.
GGAAGGAUGUCUGAGAAGUUGAAAGUGUCAGUUUUGAAAACCGGAGUAUUAAAAGGAACCCCGGGGGUUUGAAUCCGUCUCCAUCCA